AACGAACGCUGGCGGCAGGCUUAACACAUGCAAGUCGAGCGCCCCGCAAGGGGAGCGGCAGACGGGUGAGUAACGCGUGGGGAUCUGCCUAGUGGUUCGGAACAACACGGGGAAACUCGUGCUAAUACCGUAUAAGUCCUUAGGGAGAAAGAUUUAUCGCCAUUAGAUGAACCCGCGUCUGAUUAGCUAGUUGGUGAGGUAACGGCUCACCAAGGCGACGAUCAGUAGCUGGUCUGAGAGGAUGAUCAGCCACACUGGGACUGAGACACGGCCCAGACCCCAACGGGGGGCAGCGGUGGGGAAUAUUGGACAAGGGGCGCAAGCCUGAUCCAGCCAUGCCGGGUGGGUGAGGAGGGCCUUGGGUUUGUAAAGCUCUUUCGCUGGGGAAGAUAAUGACGGUACCCAGAGAAGAAGCCCCGGCUAACUUCGUGCCAGCCGCCGCCGUAA
This 447-nucleotide ribosomal RNA is filed under the name uncultured bacterium. RNAcentral's name for it is "partial 16S ribosomal RNA". It matches the Rfam family "Bacterial small subunit ribosomal RNA", at positions 29 to 523 of the family's 1533-position model. The record is from RNAcentral.